RNAcentral lists this unclassified non-coding RNA (298 nucleotides) under uncultured fungus. RNAcentral describes it as "partial contains small subunit ribosomal RNA, internal transcribed spacer 1, and 5.8S ribosomal RNA". The stretch from base 1 to 73 matches the Rfam family "Eukaryotic small subunit ribosomal RNA", at positions 1759 to 1831 of the family's 1831-position model. The record is from RNAcentral. Lineage: Eukaryota; Fungi.
UCAAACUUGGUCAUUUAGAGGAAGUAAAAGUCGUAACAAGGUCUCCGUUGGUGAACCAGCGGAGGGAUCAUUAAAGAGUUCUAUAACUCCCAAACCCAUGUGAACAUACCUUCUGUUGCCUCGGCAGGUCGUGCCUACCUCGUAGCGCCCUACCCUGUAGGACCUACCCGGCAGACGCGGGUAAGCCUGCCGGCGGCCCAUUAAGCUCUGUCUAUUCUUGAUUUCUGAACCUAUAACUAAAUAAGUUAAAACUUUCAACAACGGAUCUCUUGGUUCUGGCAUCGAUGAAGAACGCAGC